RNAcentral lists this ribosomal RNA (301 nucleotides) under uncultured bacterium. RNAcentral describes it as "partial 16S ribosomal RNA". It matches the Rfam family "Bacterial small subunit ribosomal RNA", at positions 509 to 809 of the family's 1533-position model. The record is from RNAcentral.
CAGUAGCCGCGGGAAUACGAAGGGGGCUAGCGUUGCUCGGAAUUACUGGGCGUAAAGGGAGCGUAGGCGGAUGUUUAAGUCAGAGGUGAAAGCCCAGGGCUCAACCUUGGAACUGCCUUUGAUACUGGACAUCUUGAGUGUGGGAGAGGUAAGCGGAACUCCGAGUGUAGAGGUGAAAUUCGUAGAUAUUCGGAAGAACACCAGUGGCGAAGGCGGCUUACUGGCCCAUUACUGACGCUGAGGAGCGAAAGCGUGGGGAGCGAACAGGAUUAGAUACCCCAGUAGUCCCUGUCUCUUAUAA